UGUAAUUAAUUAUAACCUUGUAUAUAUAACAAUAGCUGUAUCAUGUUUCUAAUGGCAGUAUUGUGUUCAAGUGAUAAAUAGGAAACUAUGUGUUUAGAUGUAUUAUUAUUCUGCACAAUUAUUGAAAAAGCAGAAUUUGGUAGUAUCUACAUGAAAGAGUGUCUAUACAAACAAGCAGAGCCAAAGUAUAUUGCAUUCACCACAUUAAUCAAUGAGGUUACCUAUGUUUGACAACUAUGAGUGUAGCUGUAUUUGAGCAAUGUCACUCCAGAUUUA
Molecule: non-coding RNA, 276 nt
Organism: Ciona intestinalis (vase tunicate)
Lineage: Eukaryota; Metazoa; Chordata; Ascidiacea; Phlebobranchia; Cionidae
Source: RefSeq, a predicted model, not a curated record